CCUACGUGCAGCUGCAGUGGGGAAUAUUGGACAAUGGGCGAAAGCCUGAUCCAGCCAUGCCGCGUGUGUGAAGAAGGCCUUCGGGUUGUAAAGCACUUUCAGUGGGGAAGAAAGCCUUGGGGCUAAUACCCUCGAGGAAGGACAUCACCCACAGAAGAAGCACCGGCUAACUCCGUGCCAGCAGCCGCGGUAAUACGGAGGGUGCGAGCGUUAAUCGGAAUUACUGGGCGUAAAGCGCGCGUAGGCGGUCUGAUAAGCCGGUUGUGAAAGCCCCGGGCUCAACCUGGGAACGGCAUCCGGAACUGUCAGGCUAGAGUGCAGGAGAGGAAGGUAGAAUUCCCGGUGUAGCGGUGAAAUGCGUAGAGAUCGGGAGGAAUACCAGUGGCGAAGGCGGCCUUCUGGACUGACACUGACGCUGAGGUGCGAAAGCGUGGGUAGCAAACAGGAUUAGAUACCCGAGUAGUC
This 465-nucleotide ribosomal RNA is filed under the name Vreelandella stevensii. RNAcentral describes it as "partial 16S ribosomal RNA". It matches the Rfam family "Bacterial small subunit ribosomal RNA", at positions 338 to 795 of the family's 1533-position model. The record is from RNAcentral. Lineage: Bacteria; Pseudomonadati; Pseudomonadota; Gammaproteobacteria; Oceanospirillales; Halomonadaceae.